Long non-coding RNA from Gavialis gangeticus (Gharial), 2281 nucleotides. RefSeq lists it as uncharacterized. Lineage: Eukaryota; Metazoa; Chordata; Crocodylia; Gavialidae. The transcript has 3 exons. The record is from RefSeq and is a predicted model, not a curated record.
AGAUAACACAGGAUCCUGUUGCCUUUGUGCCCCUCCCUGAAUUCGCUGUCCAUUUUUCUUAACAGCAGUUGCUUGUGAUGACUGCCUGCUCCCUUACAACAGUUAGAGAAACACUUUUGAGCAUCCUCACAAUAAGAAGCAAGCAGCUACCCUGGGGUAAUGGAGAAGACUGUUAGACUUCGGUAAAGUCCUGCCUGCCUACUCCACCUAGAGCUACCAUCACACAAGAGUACAGCCUGCAGCUGUACUCUUCAACUAGUCCACUUGAAUCAGCACUGCUAACCUGGCUACCAGGGACAGGUUAUAUGCCCAGAGUGCAUAAGGCCUGGUUGGCCACUCACAGGGCCAUCCAGCACAGCAACCACUCAGCUUUCCUAAAAAUAUCCCCAAAUGCAGAUACACACAAACCAGUAGAGUCAUCUUCCUCCAAGCAUGGGAUCCACAGUUAUUACUCUGAAAACCUUCCUGUUUGCUGAUUCCUGGUCCCCGCAGAUGCAAAAACAUUGGCAUAUAGCUAGGCCUUGCAUGCUGUAUACAGGUGAGUAGACAGGAGUUUGGACUCUGCCAUGCUCACAUGGUCCCUUCCUAUUACAGCCAUUGCAUAAAGAGCAAAAGACACAGCACACCAGCACAGACUCCCCAUGAGCCAAGCUGAGGGGGCAGCAGGAAAGUAGAGACCAGGGUAACUCCCAGAGGAGGGUUAUUCCGGAUGUUGUAGUUAGAGUGGGGUGGGUGGUCCAUGGUGGGUCCAAGCUUUACUGAGUAGCACCUAUUAGAGCCUCAUGUGCACCUUGUGCCUCUUCAUGCUCCUGUAUCAGGGCACUGAGGGCAGGAAAGCUGUGACCUCCUUCAGUGCUGUCACAGCCUGAUGUCUGUGACCACAGGACUCUGAGAAGGGGAACAGUGGGAAAGGACAGGGGCUUCCAAGAUGGGAAACUUGUAAAAGAGAUGGUGAAGCUGAUCUGAGCAGUGGGGAGAGAUGGACAGCAGUGGCAUGGGCACCCUCAGCACAGCUUCACUGCCUCCUUUCCAGGUUUGGCAUCUGGUGCCCCUGGGAGCACCAGGGAAGGAGUGUAGACAUACUACAGUACACCGCACUGUGCCUUGCAGAACUGAGCUGAGAAUAUCUAUUAUGUUUGUAACAGUUCUGUUUUUUCUUUGCCCAGGGCUCAAACCAUUAGUGCAACCAGCCUUAAAAGGGUUUCCCCAUAAUCACACAUCUGCUGGAAUAUCUGAUUUUUUUUUCCUUUUCUGCUGUUCUGGCCAUCGACCAAACGGCACCUUUUGCCUUUGUCAGGGUUGCUACUCAUGGGGCACUUUUGUAGAGAGCCAGCACAUGGAUUCCUGGGGUCCAUAGUAUAGUCCAUGAGCUCUUGAGGGAAGGGAACAUUUUAGUUGUCCUCUGGUCAGUGAGCUUCAUUCCCUGAAAAGGCAGAACUUUAGUUGUGGUCUGCAUAUUGCAUGGUAUGUGCAAAGUCUGGAACCACUGCUUUGAACCCCACAAAGGCAUGGGAGUCAGCAUGAAACAUCUCACCUUACUAUACAGGAGGCAGCCAACUGACAUUAUUCUCACAUGUUUUUUAAGGAACACCCAUUAAAUGCAAAUGCAAAGAUCAGGGGAUAAUAGGAAAGUAGUGCUGGAAGCAACCUCCUGAUGUCAUCUAGUCCAGCCCCCUGCUCAAGCAGGAUCAUCCCUGACUAAAUCAUCCCAAGUCAAGUGUUUGCCUAAUCUGCUCUAGCAUAUUCCAGCAUGGGAAAGGAAGAGCUGCACGGUUUUUGACUCAUUUAGAUUAAAGGCAUUUUUUGUUUCCUUCUUGAUUGUGUUUUACUUACAAGUUCAAAUUGUAUCUGUCCUGCCUCUUUGAAGUCUUUAUGGGCCACUGGUGACCUUAAAAUUUAGGCAAACAAUGCUUUGGAAAGCUCCCAUCCAUAUUCCCUACAAAGACUUCGGGAACAUUGUGGGGGAGAGAGUUCCUGAGGAAUCCAGCUGGGUUUUAUGCAAGCCUUAAUGCAUGCUGGUACAGGACACCAGAUGACUGGUCAUGUUAGAUGCAUCCAAUAAACGCAACUGAUCUUUACUUUAAUACCAAGCCUCAGCAUAUUACUCUCAUUAAAGGCUUAACAUGACCUGGAAUGCAAGAGAAGAAUCCAGGCUCAUUCAUGCUACUCUUAAACUACACACCUUUUGAGGUGGAUUCAUUGUUGUCAGUAACCCAAGAGCCCACAAGGAUUAUAAGUCAUCUUGCCUUCUCAGGGUUUGACUGGGUAACAAGAAUCUCCA